Capra hircus (goat) is the source of this 1762-nucleotide long non-coding RNA. RefSeq lists it as uncharacterized. The transcript has 3 exons. NCBI's taxonomy places the organism in Eukaryota, Metazoa, Chordata, Mammalia, Artiodactyla, Bovidae. The record is from RefSeq and is a predicted model, not a curated record.
CCAGGAAUACUUGGGCAGAUAUCCCAAGUUCAACGUGAAGGCUGAGGUGGGACUUCGCUCUUUGCUGACACACUCACCCAAGCGAGGACAGUGCUUGGCUUGCAUUGGACCACCCUGACCACACGGACCGUGGUCACAUCCAUCUGAUCACAAUCAAAGCUUGGAUCUGUGGGCAGGACAUAGAUGUUCAUAAAAGACAGAACCAGGAAGAAUUUGGCUGAAAUGGAUGUGCUUUAUUCAAAACACGUUGUGUCUUUUGAAGAUUCUCACUGAAGUCUAGAAAGUCAUGAAGUUGCUGCUGAGGAUGGGUGUGUGUGAUGCCUGUCUCUGAAGAAAAGGAAAUAGGGCUAACCAGAUCUGCACUUUCCCGAGUAAAGCACACACAUCUCACAUCAAGUCAUUAAAGCACCAGGCCUCUGCCUCUUAGACUUCCUGCACCCAGAGGGCAAAUCACAGCCAAGCUCAGAUGCUGUGCUGACGAAGACAUUAACAGUGUGUGUCUGAAAACUGUGUUUCUCAUAUCCCACCCUAGAGAGUUUCAUCCUUGCAAAAUGAGAAGCCGCUUCUUGGAUAGCGAGGGACAAGGAUAAAGAUGUAUGCCGUCGGCUUCUUGGGUCUGUUCUUAUCAUACAUCAGAGCUGCGGUGGUGACGGUCAGGGUCCUGCUGGGUCUGGGGGCUUCUGCAUCCCUGGAGCUGGAUCAGCCAUCAAAUCUUCCAAACGUAAAAGCCACGGCUGCUUUAUAAGGUCCCGUUCAUACUUGGGCAUGACCAUGGAAACACUGAAAUCAAGUUCCUGCGGCUGAGGUUCCUGCUGAAAGAACAAGGCGUGGCCGUGGCCUUGGUCCCUCAGGUACAGCGUCCCCUGAUGGCUUCCUGGCCUGAGACGGCAUCCUCCUCGGCGAGGUCCUGGGAGCUCCUGAACACGAGGAUGGAGUUGUAAACCUUCAGGGCUGGACCAGGCUCGAUCUUCAUCCACCUGGACAAUGUCCGUCUGUUGGCAGCAGGAAGACUCUGCCGUCAAUGUGCUGUCAGUAAAUAAAUGCACACAAAUAAACACAGCCUGCUCCUCCCAUCUGUUUGCCCCCCUCCAACCCCCACCACUGCCAGGAGCCCCUGGGUGCAGAGCUCGAGGGACCACGGAGCACAGCGGCAUCUUAGUCCAGCUACUCUCGACAGUAAGUUCUCCCCAGAACCCUGAAGCUAAGUUACAUUAAAAGGUGUUCAUUCUGUUAAAUGUGAACUCAGCGUACACAAAUUAGGCUAAAUUUCUACUGUUACAUUUUUAAAUUUUUGGACUGAAUUUGUAUCAAGGGCCUUAAAAAUAUACCAAGUGAAUCUCCAGGAAUACUUCACAUGAACAUGAUGAGUGGUGAGGACACGCUGGUGUCCUUCAUGCAGUGAAAUACGGCAAACAACCGGACAUACCAGGAACAGCAGAAGGAAAGAAAUUACGGUGUCACCGAGGAUGGGGACCGGCAGUCACCAAAAUUCACAUCUCAGUGUAAUAGGUAAUGACUUGGGAAACUUUUUGUGGGCUGUGAAGCAAGGGAACAUGAGCUGAUGACCUAGAAAGAUUUGUUUUCAUUUGUAAAAUUAAAUGUGUGUGAUCGCUGCAAACAUACACGGAGUUGAAAUAUUUGCAGUCUUUACAGCAAAUGUGAAGUGAUCUUUGGCCGGAUGUUUGCUUGGUGUUUUCUCCUUUAACCUUACUUAAAAUGCUUUUUGUGACAAACACCAUUAUAAGCAGAAGUACAUUCAAAA